Molecule: ribosomal RNA, 447 nt
Filed under: uncultured bacterium
Lineage: Bacteria
Description: partial 16S ribosomal RNA
Rfam family: Bacterial small subunit ribosomal RNA
Source: RNAcentral
AACGAACGCUAUCGGUAUGCUUAACACAUGCAAGUCGGACGGACUAAUUAGGGCUUGCUCCACUUAGUUAGUGGCAGACGGGUGAGUAACACGUGGGAAUCUGCCCAUCAGUACGGAAUAACUUUUAGAAAUAAAAGCUAAUACCGUAUAUUCUCUACAGAGGAAAGAUUUAUCGCUGAUGGAUGAGCCCGCGUCAGAUUAGGUAGUUGGUGAGGUAACGGCUCACCAAGCCGACGAUCUGUAGCUGGUCUGAGAGGAUGAUCAGCCACACUGGGACUGAGACACGGCCCAGACUCCUACGUGAGGCAGCAGUGGGGAAUAUUGGACAAUGGGCGAAAGCCUGAUCCAGCAAUACCGAGUGAGUGAUAAAGGCCCUAGGGUUGUAAAGCUCUUUUAGCAAGGAAGAUAAUGACGUUACUUGCAGAAAAAGCCCCGGCUAACUCCGUG